This 512-nucleotide ribosomal RNA is filed under the name uncultured Enterococcaceae bacterium. Its description in RNAcentral is "bacterial SSU rRNA". It matches the Rfam family "Bacterial small subunit ribosomal RNA", at positions 18 to 507 of the family's 1533-position model. The record is from RNAcentral. Lineage: Bacteria; Bacillati; Bacillota; Bacilli; Lactobacillales; Enterococcaceae.
GUCGGCUCGAGGACGACGCUGGCGGCGUGCCUAAUACAUGCAAGUCGGACGCUUCUUUUCGAAAACUUCGGGUUUUUUAAAAGAGGAGUGGCGGACGGGUGAGUAACACGUGGGUAACCUGCCCAUCAGCGGGGGAUAACACUUGGAAACAGGUGCUAAUACCGCAUAGAUCCGUUUUCUGCAUGGAAGAAGGAGGAAGGACGCUUUCAAGCGUCACUGAUGGAUGGACCCGCGGUGCAUUAGCCAGUUGGUGGGUAACGGCCUACCAAAGCAACGAUGCAUAGCCGACCUGAGAGGGUGAUCGGCCACACUGGGACUGAGACACGGCCCAGACUCCUACGGGAGGCAGCAGUAGGGAAUCUUCGGCAAUGGACGCAAGUCUGACCGAGCAACGCCGCGUGAGUGAAGAAGGUUUUCGGAUCGUAAAACUCUGUUGUCAGAGAAGAACAAAGGUGAGAGGAAAUGCUCGCUUUUUGACGGUAUCUGACCAGAAAGCCACGGCUAACUACGUG